This 325-nucleotide ribosomal RNA is filed under the name uncultured eukaryote. RNAcentral's name for it is "partial 18S ribosomal RNA". It matches the Rfam family "Eukaryotic small subunit ribosomal RNA", at positions 1470 to 1796 of the family's 1831-position model. The record is from RNAcentral.
CCCUUAGAUGUUCUGGGCCGCACGCGUGCUACACUGAGUGGAUCAGCGGGUCAGGUUGCGCGAAAGUGUUUCCUAAUCUUGAAAUCCGCUCGUGAUGGGGAUUGACGGUUGCAAUUUUCCGUCAUGAACGAGGAAUUCCUAGUAAGCGCGAGUCAUCAGCUCGCGUUGAUUACGUCCCUGCCCUUUGUACACACCGCCCGUCGCUACUACCGAUUGAAUGGUUUAGUGAGGACUCCUGAUUGGCGCCGCCGCCCCGGCAACGGAGCAGCGGACUGCCGAAAAGUUGUUCAAACUUGAUCAUUUAGAGGAAGUAAAAGUCGUAACA